UACAGAGGUGGCAAGCGUUGUUCGGAAUUACUGGGCGUAAAGGGCGCGUAGGCGGUCUUGCAAGUCCCGUGUGAAAUCCCUCGGCUCAACUGAGGAACUGCACGGGAAACUGCUUGGCUUGAGUUCGGGAGAGGGAAGCGGAAUUCCCAGUGUAGCGGUGAAAUGCGUAGAUAUUGGGAGGAACACCAGUGGCGAAGGCGGCUCACUGGACCGGUACUGACGCUGAGGCGCGAAAGCGUGGGGAGCAAACAGG
RNAcentral lists this ribosomal RNA (253 nucleotides) under uncultured bacterium. Its description in RNAcentral is "partial 16S ribosomal RNA". It matches the Rfam family "Bacterial small subunit ribosomal RNA", at positions 524 to 776 of the family's 1533-position model. The record is from RNAcentral.